RNAcentral lists this ribosomal RNA (108 nucleotides) under Pogona vitticeps (central bearded dragon). The record is from RNAcentral. Lineage: Eukaryota; Metazoa; Chordata; Lepidosauria; Squamata; Agamidae.
CCUAGAAAUCAAACACAGGCAUUUCUCACGUCCUCACAAGCUAAUCAGGGGCAAGUCUGGUUAGCACUUGGAUGGGAGACCACCUGGGAACUUAGGACCUCUCCAGGU